RNAcentral lists this ribosomal RNA (497 nucleotides) under uncultured bacterium. RNAcentral describes it as "partial 16S ribosomal RNA". It matches the Rfam family "Bacterial small subunit ribosomal RNA", at positions 28 to 507 of the family's 1533-position model. The record is from RNAcentral.
GAUGAACGCUGGCGGCGUGCCUAAUACAUGCAAGUCGAGCGAACGGACGAGAAGCUUGCUUUUCUGAUGUUAGCGGCGGACGGGUGAGUAACACGUGGAUAACCUACCUAUAGGACUGGGAUAACUUCGGGAAACCGGAGCUAAUACCGGAUAAUAUUUUGAACCGCAUGGUUCAUAAGUGAAAGACGGUCUUGCUGUCACUUAUAGAUGGAUCCGCGCUGCAUUAGCUAGUUGGUAAGGUAACGGCUUACCAAGGCAACGAUGCAUAGCCGACCUGAGAGGGUGAUCGGCCACACUGGAACUGAGACACGGUCCAGACUCCUACGGGAGGCAGCAGUAGGGAAUCUUCCGCAAUGGGCGAAAGCCUGACGGAGCAACGCCACGUGAGUGAUGAAGGUCUUCGGAUCGUAAAACUCUGUUAUUAGGGAAGAACAUAUGUGUAAGUAACUGUGCACAUCUUGACGGUACCUAACCAGAAAGCCACGGCUAACUACGUG